Molecule: ribosomal RNA, 228 nt
Filed under: uncultured bacterium
Lineage: Bacteria
Description: partial 16S ribosomal RNA
Rfam family: Bacterial small subunit ribosomal RNA
Source: RNAcentral
CGGGUGAGUAAUGUAUGGGGAUCUGCCUGAUGGCGGGGGAUAACUACUGGAAACGGUAGCUAAUACCGCAUAAUGUCUGCGGACCAAAGCGGGGGACCUCCGGGCCUCGCGCCAUCAGAUGAACCCAUAUGGGAUUAGCUUGUAGGUAAGGUAACGGCUUACCUAGGCGACGAUCCCUGGCUGGUCUGAGAGGAUGAUCAGCCACACUGGGACUGAGACACGGCCCAG